RNAcentral lists this ribosomal RNA (166 nucleotides) under Lentithecium sp. Its description in RNAcentral is "partial large subunit ribosomal RNA". It matches the Rfam family "Eukaryotic large subunit ribosomal RNA", at positions 99 to 261 of the family's 3401-position model. Lineage: Eukaryota; Fungi; Ascomycota; Dothideomycetes; Pleosporales; Lentitheciaceae. The record is from RNAcentral.
CGGCAACAGCUCAAAUUUUAAAUCUGGCUCCCUCGGGGGUCCGAGUUGUAAUUUGCAGAGGGUGCUUUGGCGUCGGUAGCGGUCUAAGUUCCUUGGAACAGGACAUCACAGAGGGUGAGAAUCCCGUACGUGGUCGCUAACCUUCGCCGUGUAAAGCCCCUUCGAC